RNAcentral lists this transfer RNA (67 nucleotides) under Deuteronectes picturatus. RNAcentral describes it as "tRNA-Asp". Lineage: Eukaryota; Metazoa; Arthropoda; Insecta; Coleoptera; Dytiscidae. The record is from RNAcentral.
AAGAAAUUAGUUAAAUGUAUAACAUUAGAAUGUCAAACUAAAAUUAUUAAAAUAUCAAUAUUUCUUA